UGUUAGGGUUCUGCCAUGAUUAAUAGGGAACGUUGUGUGAAUCAACGGCUAUACCCGUAGCUGUAAGUUCCAAAAAAAGCAUUUUCAUGCUAUGUCACUGACUUAUUCAAGUUGGGAAGACGUGAAAAUGGGGGACGAGCCAGAAGACCUGCCUUAACG
This 159-nucleotide non-coding RNA is filed under the name bovine gut metagenome. The record is from RNAcentral.